RNAcentral lists this unclassified non-coding RNA (377 nucleotides) under uncultured Gammaproteobacteria bacterium. RNAcentral describes it as "contains 16S-23S intergenic spacer region". Lineage: Bacteria; Pseudomonadati; Pseudomonadota; Gammaproteobacteria. The record is from RNAcentral.
UCCGGUUUGUCACCGGCGGUCCCCUUAGAGUGCUCAACUGAAUGGGGGCAACUAAGGGCAAGGGUUGCGCUCGUUGCGGGACUUAACCCAACAUCUCACGACACGAGCUGACGACAGCCAUGCAGCACCUGUGUUCCCGUUCCCUUUCGGGCACAGCCCCAUUUCUGGAGCCUCCAGGACAUGUCAAGGGUAGGUAAGGUUUUUCGCGUUGCAUCGAAUUAAUCCUCAUAAUCCACCGCUUGUGCGGGUCCCCGUCAAUUCCUUUGAGUUUUAAUCUUGCGACCGUACUCCCCAGGCGGUCUACUUCACGCGUUAGCUGCGUUACCAAGUCAAUUAAGACCCGACAACUAGUAGACAUCGUUUAGGGCGUGGACUAC